RNAcentral lists this ribosomal RNA (253 nucleotides) under uncultured bacterium. RNAcentral's name for it is "partial 16S ribosomal RNA". It matches the Rfam family "Bacterial small subunit ribosomal RNA", at positions 524 to 776 of the family's 1533-position model. The record is from RNAcentral.
UACGAAGGGGGCUAGCGUUGCUCGGAAUUACUGGGCGUAAAGGGCGCGUAGGCGGACAGUUAAGUCGGGGGUGAAAGCCCGGGGCUCAACCCCGGAAUUGCCUUCGAUACUGGCUGUCUUGAGUUCGGGAGAGGUGUGUGGAAUGCCGAGUGUAGAGGUGAAAUUCGUAGAUAUUCGGCGGAACACCAGUGGCGAAGGCGACACACUGGCCCGAUACUGACGCUGAGGCGCGAAAGCGUGGGGAGCAAACAGG